UUCAAGGGUCAUGCCACCCUGACCAUACCUGAACUUUUAUGAUCUUGGAAGCUAAGUAGGGUUGGGCCUGGUCAGCUCUUGAAUGAACACAUGGGAAUACUGGGUGUUAUAGGCU
Molecule: ribosomal RNA, 115 nt
Filed under: Marmota monax (woodchuck)
Lineage: Eukaryota; Metazoa; Chordata; Mammalia; Rodentia; Sciuridae
Source: RNAcentral